Molecule: ribosomal RNA, 313 nt
Filed under: uncultured Pleosporineae
Lineage: Eukaryota; Fungi; Ascomycota; Dothideomycetes; Pleosporales
Description: partial large subunit ribosomal RNA
Rfam family: Eukaryotic large subunit ribosomal RNA
Source: RNAcentral
AUAUCAGUAAGCGGAGGAAAAGAAACCAACAGGGAUUGCCCUAGUAACGGCGAGUGAAGCGGCAUCAGCUCAAAUUUGAAAUCUGGCUCUUUCAGAGUCCGAGUUGUAAUUUGCAGAGGGCGCUUUGGUGUCGGCAGCGGUUCAAGUUCCUUGGAACAGGACGUCACAGAGGGUGAGAAUCCCGUACGUGGUCGCUGACCUACACCGUGUAAAGCCCCUUCGACGAGUCGAGUUGUUUGGGAAUGCAGCUCUAAAUGGGAGGUAAAUUUCUUCUAAAGCUAAAUACUGGCCAGAGACCGAUAGCGCACAAGUA